GGUGCGAGACUUAGACACUAGUGGACAGACAAUUUAGUUUCUUAUUUCUAAUCCUCUUCCCACAACACUGUCCUUGCAGCUUCUGAGUCAGCCUGAUUGCUUGAUUCACAGUGAAUCAAGACACAGUUUAGAAGCGUAGAUGUUUAGAGGAGACAAUUAAAGUUUUGGUUGAGGGCUUUAUUAGGCUGGGAAAAUGAAUGCCUCCCUUAACCAGAAGACUCCCAUAAAGUUCCAAGCACCGAAAUACUCCUUAUGUACUCAGGCUCAAGUCAUGCCCCUUUUACUGAGACUGAAAUGCAUCCCCCACUUAGCACCUGAAACUCUCACCUGAGAGGAGGCACAGAGCUGGACAAGAGGAAAGGGCAGUGAGCAGGGGGUUGUGGUCAGCGUGGUAGGGAUGGUAGCUGGUAGCACAGGGCUUGGGAUACAGGGUAAGGCAGCAGGUGUGAGCACCGUAAGCUUCACAUGCUGACACUGUGCUGCAGAGAUCGAAUGGGACAGCCUAGACAGGAAAUACA
This 518-nucleotide long non-coding RNA is filed under the name Bos taurus (domestic cattle). RNAcentral's name for it is "long non-coding RNA NONBTAT023078". The record is from RNAcentral. Lineage: Eukaryota; Metazoa; Chordata; Mammalia; Artiodactyla; Bovidae.